UAGUGAACCAGUACCGUGAGGGAAAGGCGAAAAGAACCCCGGCGAGGGGAGUGAAAAAGAACCUGAAACCGUGUACGUACAAGCAGUGGGAGCACAGGUUUACCUGUGUGACUGCGUACCUUUUGUAUAAUGGGUCAGCGACUUAUAUUCUGUAGCAAGGUUAACCGUAUAGGGGAGCCGGAGGGAAACCGAGUCUUAAUUGGGCGUUAAGUUGCAGGGUAUAGACCCGAAACCCGGUGAUCUAGCCAUGGGCAGGUUGAAGGUUGGGUAACACUAACUGGAGGACCGAACCGACUAAUGUUGAAAAAUUAGCGGAUGACCUGUGGCUGGGGGUGAAAGGCCAAUCAAACCGGGAGAUAGCUGGUUCUCCCCGAAAGCUAUUUAGGUAGCGCCUCGUGAAUUCAUCUCCGGGGGUAGAGCACUGUUUCGGCUAGGGGGCCAUCCCGGCUUACCAACCCGAUGCAAACUGCGAAUACCGGAGAAUGUUAUCACGGGAGACACACGGCGGGUGCUAACGUCCGUCGUGAAGAGGGAAACAACCCAGACCGCCAGCUAAGGUCCCAAAGUCAUGGUUAAGUGGGAAACGAUGUGGGAAGGCCCAGACAGCCAGGAUGUUGGCUUAGAAGCAGCCAUCAUUUAAAGAAAGCGUAAUAGCUCACUGGUCGAGUCGGCCUGCGCGGAAGAUGUAACGGGGCUAAACCAUGCACCGAAGCUGCGGCAGCGACACUGUGUGUUGUUGGGUAGGGGAGCGUUCUGUAAGCCUGUGAAGGUGUGUCGUGAGGCAUGCUGGAGGUAUCAGAAGUGCGAAUGCUGACAUAAGUAACGAUAAAGCGGGUGAAAAGCCCGCUCGCCGGAAGACCAAGGGUUCCUGUCCAACGUUAAUCGGGGCAGGGUGAGUCGACCCCUAAGGCGAGGCCGAAAGGCGUAGUCGAUGGGAAACGGGUUAAUAUUCCCGUACUUGGUGUUACUGCGAAGGGGGGACGGAGAAGGCUAUGUUGGCCGGGCGACGGUUGUCCCGGUUUAAGCGUGUAGGUGUGUGUUCCAGGUAAAUCCGGUUCACUUUAACACUGAGGCGUGACGACGAGGCACUACGGUGCUGAAGCAACAAAUGCCCUGCUUCCAGGAAAAGCCUCUAAGCAUCAGGUAACAUCAAAUCGUACCCCAAACCGACACAGGUGGUCAGGUAGAGAAUACCAAGGCGCUUGAGAGAACUCGGGUGAAGGAACUAGGCAAAAUGGUGCCGUAACUUCGGGAGAAGGCACGCUGACACGUAGGUGAAGUGAUUUACUCAUGGAGCUGAAGUCAGUCGAAGAUACCAGCUGGCUGCAACUGUUUAUUAAAAACACAGCACUGUGCAAACACGAAAGUGGACGUAUACGGUGUGACGCCUGCCCGGUGCCGGAAGGUUAAUUGAUGGGGUCAGCGCAAGCGAAGCUCCUGAUCGAAGCCCCGGUAAACGGCGGCCGUAACUAUAACGGUCCUAAGGUAGCGAAAUUCCUUGUCGGGUAAGUUCCGACCUGCACGAAUGGCGUAAUGAUGGCCAGGCUGUCUCCACCCGAGACUCAGUGAAAUUGAACUCGCUGUGAAGAUGCAGUGUACCCGCGGCAAGACGGAAAGACCCCGUGAACCUUUACUAUAGCUUGACACUGAACAUUGAGCCUUGAUGUGUAG
Molecule: ribosomal RNA, 1671 nt
Filed under: Salmonella enterica
Lineage: Bacteria; Pseudomonadati; Pseudomonadota; Gammaproteobacteria; Enterobacterales; Enterobacteriaceae
Description: partial 23S ribosomal RNA
Rfam family: Bacterial large subunit ribosomal RNA
Source: RNAcentral